Molecule: ribosomal RNA, 363 nt
Filed under: uncultured bacterium
Lineage: Bacteria
Description: bacterial SSU rRNA
Rfam family: Bacterial small subunit ribosomal RNA
Source: RNAcentral
AUUGAACGCUGGCGGCGUGCCUAACACAUGCAAGUCGAGCGGUAACAGGGUGUAGCAAUACAUGCUGACGAGCGGCGAACGGGUGAGUAAUGCUUCGGGAAUCUGCCCAUGUAGUGGGGAAUAACCAGCCGAAAGGUUGGCUAAUACCGCAUACGACCUACGGGUGAAAGCAGGGGAUCGCAAGACCUUGCGCUAUUGGAUGAGCCGAAGUCGGAUAGGCUUGUUGGUGAGGUUAACGGCUCACCAAGGCGACGAUCCGUAGCUGGUCUGAGAGGACGACCAGCCACACUGGGACUGAGACACGGCCCAGACUCCUACGGGAGGCAGUCAGUGGGGAAUAUUGGACAAUGGGGCAACCCUGAU